RNAcentral lists this long non-coding RNA (1440 nucleotides) under Coffea arabica (coffee). RNAcentral's name for it is "long non-coding RNA (CARA_LNC000982)". Lineage: Eukaryota; Viridiplantae; Streptophyta; Magnoliopsida; Gentianales; Rubiaceae. The record is from RNAcentral.
UUGGUAGCAGGCUUAAUUUCUGACGCCCUGUUGUCCAAGGUUCUAAAGUUCAUUGGCUGCUGCCAUGCUAUAUUGAAGUCAUGGACAUUUUGUGUUUUCUUCCUGUCAAUUUCAUCCACAACUUUUCUGCUAAACUAGCUCAUGGCAUUCAGCUUUUGCCAUUGUUGUAGUUUGCACUACAAAUCCUUCAAUAAAUUAUCAUUACCUGCAGGACCGGUUCUUAUUCUCAAUUUCUUUCGAACUUUACACUUUAAGUUAUGCAAAAUUUAGAUUACCAGCAUUUCCAUUUGUUCUUUAGUCUAUCCAUGUUUAUUAACUUUAAUUGAAUUAUAAAUUCACCAAAAGAAGGAUAUGCAACAAUGACAACAGAAGGAUGUGCUUACAAGAGCCUGGUUGUUGCAAAAUGAUGUGGAGUUUGGUUUUCCUUCUAUGUCCCUAGGAAAGGAAUGAUCCAAAAGGAGUACUAAAAUGUUUAUGUUGGAUUGAUUGGAAAACUAAUACACAUAAAUGACAAUCAAAAUGUUUUCUUUUCCUGAAAUCAUUCCUUCCCAUUUAAAUGUCAAGUUGGCAAAUUAUCCUAAAUAUUAUUUUACUUACGUCACAAAUAUGAUUUUUCAUCAAUUUUUUAUAACAUAUAAAUAAACAUUAUAAAAGAAGCUAUAGUAAUUAUUUCAAAUAAUCUCCCAUCCAAACACUAAAUAUUUGUUUGCCUAUUUACGAUAUGCAACUUUUUUUUUUUUUUUUUUUGGCACUACGUCAGUUUUGCCAACCUUCUAGAUAUUUAAAGCAGGAAUAGUUAAGAGGGAAAAAAAAAAUGUUUGCCAUCUUGAAGGGCAGAGAUGUAACCUUAAAAGUUCACGAUGACGUAUUUUGCUGUAUAAUUUCAGAAAUGUCCUCUUAAGGUUUCUAACAGUUUUACUUGGCACCUUCAAACUUUUUAAAAAUCUCACUUGAUUCCCUUAGCUUAAAUUUCUUGUAACAUUUAAAUUCCAUUUCAAAAUAUAAUAUUAAACAAGCUCUCAUUUUGAGAGGGAGAAUAUAAAUUCCAAAUUUGUACUUAAUUAUUAUAACAGACUAAAUUUAUCUCUUAAUUUUUGUUAAUUGAUCAAUAUAGUUCUUUAAUAAAAGUUCAAAAGUUAUAUAAGAUCGAAAAAACUCUUUAAUAGUUUUGAUGUCAUUGGUUUGAACAAGAAAUGUUAAAUUACUUAAAAUUAUAAAUGAUUUACAAUGCUCUUAAAACUAACUUGCCAUAAUUUACAACCAAAAGAAUACCUUUUUGCACUAGCCUAAAAACAAUAUAAAUAAGUUCAUAUAUAAGUAUCUUUUUUCUUUUCAAGCCAUUGAUUUAAAAAAAUUGAAAAAUUCAAAAAUAUGUAAAAAAAUUAUAAAACUUCUUAGAUUAACUCAAGAUAAGAUAUUUUCUAUCUAACUUGCAAAAAA